Molecule: long non-coding RNA, 498 nt
Organism: Homo sapiens (human)
Lineage: Eukaryota; Metazoa; Chordata; Mammalia; Primates; Hominidae
Gene: INTS12-AS1
Product: INTS12 antisense RNA 1
Exons: 3
Source: RefSeq, a predicted model, not a curated record
AAGAAACCUAGUGCUUUCAAAAAAAUGGGAUCAAGUUCCAAGUUCACAGUAGCAGCCAUUGCAAACGCCUGAAGGAAAAAAAGAGAAAGUAAUCUAGAAGACAAUGCACAAUUAUCUAUGUUAAAGUUUUACUUUUCUGUUUUUUAAUUUGUAAUAGAUAAUACUGUACACAUGAUAUAAAAUUUAAAAUCACCAAAAAGUUAUUACAAAUAAAAGUAAAUUUCCUUCUUAUUCCUGACAGGCAUUAUCUAGUUCCUUCCCCCUGAAACAACUAGCAGUAUCAGUUUUCUGUGUAUCCAUAUCGAUGGUAACGUUUUAAAUCCAGUAUACCCCAUCAUCCCCAGAUGAAACCGUCUAGCUGCAGGAAAGCAAGCUCAAGGUUCCCACUGAUUCUACAUUAUGAAUGUAAGUUCCAUGAAGGCAGGCAGUGGAUUGGUCUUGCCUACUGUUGUAACCCCUGUCUGGCAGAGUUCCUGGAAAACAGCAAAUAACUGUAAA